Oncorhynchus gorbuscha (pink salmon) is the source of this 3231-nucleotide long non-coding RNA. RefSeq lists it as uncharacterized. Lineage: Eukaryota; Metazoa; Chordata; Actinopteri; Salmoniformes; Salmonidae. The record is from RefSeq and is a predicted model, not a curated record. The transcript has 3 exons.
UAUCCUGUAUAUUACCUCUGACUAUCCUGUAUAUUACCUCUGCCUAUCCUGUAUAUUACCUCUGCCUAUCCUGUAUAUUACCUCUGCCUAUCCUGUAUAUUACCUCUGCCUAUCCUGUAAAUUACCUAUCCUGUAUAUUACCUAUCCUGUAUAUUACCUAUCCUGUAUAUUACCUAUGCCUAUCCUACCAUUCAUUGUAAUUAGACUGGUAUAGGAUUAAUUCCUGACCAAGAUGGCUGCCGUGUUUGCCCAAUUAUGGAAAUUGAAGGGUUUAUUGUCACAUCUGCUCCUGCUACACCCCCUAGUGGACAUUCGGUGUCUCCUUGACCUGCAGCCAUUUCCCCAGUUCUCUCCCUCUUCUUCUCUCUCUCUCUCUCUCUCUCUCUGAUUGUGUGGUUGGAGACAGGUGAGCUGGAGUCAGAGCAGUUCCCCACCAGCUGCAACCCGUUCCAUAAUCAAGACCUCUACAAAUACUCAAUCCUGCCACUUCCACUCUGCCAGAUCGUAAUCUCAUUUUGCCGCUCUGACUGGGUCCUGUAUCCUGUUCCACAUUUCGCUACCCUGCUAUGAAUUCAACUCAUCAUCACUCCCUUGGAUUCCCCUCCAGACCUGUUUACCCUUUCCCAACCCACCUCACUCCAACCUCAGCCUCCACAUCGGGUUUCCUACAACUUAUCCAAGCUUCCCUGGAUCUGCACUUCAUCUCUCCCUGUGUUGCAAUAAAUAUCUUGGUUCAUUCAUCCCUGUUUCCUGGUCUGAGUCUGCUCUUGGGUUCUCCUGUGCUGCUCCGCUUAACAUUUGACAAUGCCCCUCUAGUAAUUCAAUAGGCUCUCUAUGCGUUUACAGCGGCCUGCAGGACACAUGGCAAAUUCAAUUGUAUGAUGACAAAAACAUUGCUUGACAUUGAGCGCCAUCAAGUGACGUCACUGUGUAAAACACCUCAAUAUUAGUUUAUGAAGACAAAUCACUUCAUAACCUAUAUCUGGCGUUGUGACAUACACAUCUCUCUCCAUUUUGUUUGUUUAACUACAUAGGAAGUGGUAAAUAACAGGUCAAACGCGGCCCGUCAUAUCCCUUAUAAGUUUGUAUGAGUUCAAAUGAAUGGCCAGUUAGAGCUCUGCUCACUGGUUCCAGAGCGAAUGAUGGUCUGUCUUACAGAGAAGCUCAUCAGAGAGUUCCUGACCCUUCAGGGGCAGGCUGCACUGUCAACCAACAUCACUGUCAAUCACUUGAGGGGAUGGAUCAUCUUCAAUGUUCAGAAAGCCUUCCUGAAAAGAUUUCAGGAAGAGAGAGAGGAGAAACCCCUGCCUCGUUGAGCUGGAAGUCAGGGAGGUCGUGGAGAGCCUGGUGGACAUGGCAGCAGGAAGAGACAGCACAAGGGACAUCGUCCAAAGAGCCCUCACUGAAAUCGGGACCAAGGUGACGAGCUGCCUCCAAGACCUUCUCGAAGCAGGUCGUGGUGCUCAGUUAAACCAUCAGGACAUUAUCUCCCAGGUAAUUCUUCAAGUGACUUACAAACUCUUUCGGAACUGACUUUCUCUGAAGGUCAGGCCACGGGGGGGCAGAUGGUCAACACUCUUCAGCAGUCCACAGAUCACUUGGAGGUGGUGAAGAGGGUUAAACCAAGGCCUUAUACCCUUUAAAGGGUUAAUACAUUGUGUUAUGAUAAACUGUAAGGUCUCCUCUUCAGGACCUCUCUGUGUGUUAACCUGUUUUGAGUGCUGUGACCUUCAGACACUAUCAGAAGGUGUUUACGUUCAGACUCCUCCUGUCUGGAUCCCACCGUGGUUGUCUGGUUGACCGACAACACAAGGCUGCCACAGACCUGAUGAAACCAGCCACCUGUCAGAAGAUGCCUACACUCGUUCACCUUGUCGUGACCCCGUACUUGUGAUGAAAGGUCAAGUUUUGGUCCAACCCACUUUUGAGCUUUUAAUUGCUGAUAAGAUGGUUACUGCUGUCAGGGGAGGUUAGAUUUAUUAAAAUGUUGUUGCCAGGGAAACUCACGCAAGGAGGACUGGGAGAGGCUCUAUGAGUUACAGGAUGUCUUAGACAUUUUGCAGAACUUGGGGAGAAACUAUCAUAUACUGUUAUAUUGUACUCCGUACCAACUUCUGCCUAGAAAUGUUAUUACUAAAGGAGUAUUUUUUUAAUGCUUAAACAACGAGUCUGUGUUUCCUUUCUAUUACUAAUUUAUGUUUGAUAAUUAUAUAGACCUGAUCAUUUGUUGAAGAAAUUGACCAACAGUGGCCACGAACAUCAUGGCGAACCUGGAGGAGAUACUAGGCCCCAGAACGGUGCUGGCGAGAGCACUUGGACUGGGAUCAAAGAUCUUCAACCUCUACGUGGUUUGCAGUGUAGCUCCGUGGAUUGCUAAGAGUGUACCUGAUCGGUUUGCUGCUAACAAGGAGGGACUUAUUACCCAGAGUAUGAUGGAGAACCAUGCUGUAAGUUCUUGUUCAAAGAAGACAUAGCGCUGAAGAAGCAAGGAAAAAGCAACGCUGCUGUGUCAGACUGAGCCACUGACCUCCAGCUCGGCACCUGACCAGGGAGACAUUAGAGCAGAAACACAGCAGAAUGAGGAAGUUAGUGACCCUUUCCCCCGGAAUCUGAACCCUCCCAAGCUGUUGUUUCCGACUGGCAUUUAGACCUGGAGCCCAUCCCACCACAGAACUAUCUACAGCUGGUAUAGGAGGCUGAGGCUAGAGAAGCACCUCGUUCUGAUGCCACCAGCACCACAUUCCAGACCAUCAAAUAAGAUGACCAGCCUUCUCAGUCUUCGAGGACUGCUGCUGGACAGGAAGUGGAGCAUGACAAACCAAAGAAGAUGAGGAGGAUUCGCAACAUCUUCAGAAGGAAAUGUAAUGAAGGGGCUUCUAAAGCCUAUUAUCACCACAAUACUCGUAUACUAGAAGAGAAUUCUAACAGCCUGACAUUGUUAUCUAAUUUGUCUGUUAUUAUUUGGGAAAUAGAAGGAUGGGAUUUGCGCCUUAGCAUUUCUGAUUAGAAACCCCACAAGACAAGACUCUGUUCCACAGAACUGGAACAGCCUGAUAUUUUUUUGUUCCUAUUUUAUUCUUGUUUUCUUCAUUUUGAAGUAUAUUCAUUUAACUUUUUUAUGCACACUGAUUGAGAUAAAACGACAUGUUCAAUCUAUAUUGUUACUCUGUGGUUGGAUGUUGAUAGAGGAAAGGAUUUGAAAUAAUGUAGACGAUGAAGAAAUGAUCUGUG